This 468-nucleotide ribosomal RNA is filed under the name uncultured bacterium. Its description in RNAcentral is "partial 16S ribosomal RNA". It matches the Rfam family "Bacterial small subunit ribosomal RNA", at positions 28 to 507 of the family's 1533-position model. The record is from RNAcentral.
GACGAACGCUGGCGGCGUGCUUAACACAUGCAAGUCGAACGGAAAGGCCCUGCUUUUGUGGGGUGCUCGAGUGGCGAACGGGUGAGUAACACGUGAGUAACCUGCCCUUGACUUUGGGAUAACUUCAGGAAACUGGGGCUAAUACCGGAUAGGAGCUCCUGCUGCAUGGUGGGGGUUGGAAAGUUUCGGCUGUUGGGGAUGGACUCGCGGCUUAUCAGCUUGUUGGUGGGGUAGUGGCUUACCAAGGCUUUGACGGGUAGCCGGCCUGAGAGGGUGACCGGCCACAUUGGGACUGCGAGACGGCCCAGACUCCUACGGGAGGCAGCAGUGGGGAAUAUUGCACAAUGGGCGGAAGCCUGAUGCAGCAACGCCGCGUGCGGGAUGACGGCCUUCGGGUUGUAAACCGCUUUCGCCUGUGACGAAGCGUGAGUGACGGUAAUGGGUAAAGAAGCACCGGCUAACUACGUG